GAUGAACGCUAGCGACAGGCCUAACACAUGCAAGUCGAGGGGUAGCACAGAAUAGCUUGCUAUUUGGGUGACGACCGGCGCACGGGUGAGUAACGCGUAUGCAACCUGCCUAUAAGAGGGGGAUAGCCUUUCGAAAGAAAGAUUAAUACCGCAUAAUACUAUUUGCCUGCAUGGGUAAAUAGUUAAACUAUUUGGCUUAUAGAUGGGCAUGCGUUCCAUUAGAUAGUUGGUGAGGUAACGGCUCACCAAGUCAGCGAUGGAUAGGGGUUCUGAGAGGAAGGUCCCCCACACUGGUACUGAGACACGGACCAGACUCCUACGGGAGGCAGCAGUGAGGAAUAUUGGUCAAUGGGCGAGAGCCUGAACCAGCCAAGUCGCGUGAAGGAUGAAGGUCUUAUGGAUUGUAAACUUCUUUUAUAAGGGAAUAAAAAAGAUCACGUGUGGUUUAUUGCAUGUACCUUAUGAAUAAGCAUCGGCUAACUCCGUGCCAGCAGCCGCGGUAAUACGGAGGAUGCGAGCGUUAUCCGGAUUUAUUGGGUUUAAAGGGUGCGUAGGCGGUUUAUUAAGUCAGUGGUGAAAGUUUUCGGCUCAACCGGAAAAUUGCCNUUGAAACUGAUAGACUUGAGUGUAAACGAGGUAGGCGGAAUUCGUGGUGUAGCGGUGAAAUGCUUAGAUAUCACGAAGAACUCCAAUUGCNAAGGCAGCUUACUAGGCUACAACUGACGCUGAAGCACGAAAGCGUGGGGAUCAAACAGGAUUAGAUACCCUGGNAGUCCACGCAGUAAACGAUGA
This 792-nucleotide ribosomal RNA is filed under the name uncultured prokaryote. RNAcentral's name for it is "bacterial SSU rRNA". It matches the Rfam family "Bacterial small subunit ribosomal RNA", at positions 28 to 812 of the family's 1533-position model. The record is from RNAcentral.